This 695-nucleotide ribosomal RNA is filed under the name uncultured euryarchaeote. Its description in RNAcentral is "bacterial SSU rRNA". It matches the Rfam family "Archaeal small subunit ribosomal RNA", at positions 73 to 771 of the family's 1478-position model. Lineage: Archaea; Methanobacteriati; Methanobacteriota. The record is from RNAcentral.
GACCCUCGGCGCAUCGCUCAGUAACACGCGGACAAUCUGCCCUAAGGUGGGGUAUAAUCUCGGGAAACUGAGGCUAAUACCCCAUAGGUCACCUCUGCUGGAAUGCUUGGUGGUCGAAAGUUCCGACGCCUUAGGAUGAGUCUGCGGCCUAUCAGGUAGUAGUGAGGGUAACGUCCUCACUAGCCUUCGACGGGUACGGGCGUUGAGAGACGUCGCCCGGAGAUGGACUCUGAGACACGAGUCCAGGCCCUACGGGGCGCAGCAGGCGCGAAAACUUCACAAUGUGGGAAACCACGAUGAGGGGAACCCAAGUGUCUGCACCAUGUGUAGACUUUUCCGCAGUCUAAACAACUGUGGGAAUAAGGGCUGGGUAAGACGGGUGCCAGCCGCCGCGGUAAUACCUGCAGCCCAAGUGGUGCUCGUUUUUAUUGGGCCUAAAACGUCCGUAGCCGGGUUGUUAAAUGCCUGGGUAAAUCGUGUCGCUUAACGAUACGAAUUCCAGGUAGACUGGCAGCCUCGGGACCGGGAGAGGUCAGAGGUACGUCAGGGGUAGGGGUAAAAUCCUGUAAUCCUUGGCGGACCACCAGUGGCGAAGGCGUCUGACUAGAACGGAUCCGACGGUAAGGGACGAAGCCCUGGGGCGCAAACGGGAUUAGAUACCCCGGUAGUCCAGGGUGUAAACGCUGCGCGCUUGG